GCCGGGCGUGGUGGUGCAUGCCUGUAAUCCCAGCAGCUGGGGAGGCUGAGACAGGAGGAUCGCGAGUUCAAAGCCAGUCUCAGCAAAAACAAGGCGCUCAGCAACUCAGUGAGACCCUGUCCCUA
Molecule: small RNA, 125 nt
Filed under: Marmota monax (woodchuck)
Lineage: Eukaryota; Metazoa; Chordata; Mammalia; Rodentia; Sciuridae
Source: RNAcentral